AAUCAACGCUGGCGGCGUGCCUAACACAUGCAAGUCGAGCGGGAAAGGGGGCUUCGGCCCCUGAGUAUAGCGGCGGACGGGUGAGUAACACGUGGGUAAUUUGCCCUUGGGUGUGGAAUAACUCAGGGAAACUUGAGCUAAUACCGCAUGACAUCCCCUUCACACACGAGUCGGGGAUCAAAGCCGGGGACCCUUCGGGGCCUGGCGCCUGAGGAGAAGCCCGCGCCCGAUUAGCUAGUUGGGAGGUAAUGGCUCACCAAGGCUUCGAUCGGUAGCCGGCCUGAGAGGGCGGACGGCCACACUGGGACUGAGACACGGCCCAGACUCCUACGGGAGGCAGCAGUGGGGAAUUUUGUCAAUGGGGGAAACCCUGAACAAGCAACGCCGCGUGGAGGACGACGACCUGGUGUAACU
Molecule: ribosomal RNA, 414 nt
Filed under: uncultured bacterium
Lineage: Bacteria
Description: bacterial SSU rRNA
Rfam family: Bacterial small subunit ribosomal RNA
Source: RNAcentral